CGAAUCCUUCGGGGCAGGGUGAAAUUCCCUACCGGCGGUGAUGGACGCGGUUGGACGCCUGACGGCGCGACUGCGGACUUAGUCCGUGACCCGGAUGUACCUUGCGGUAUAUGCGGUGGACCUGGUGAAAAUCCGGGACCGACAGUAUAGUCUGGAUGGGAGAAGGAGAGA
This 171-nucleotide non-coding RNA is filed under the name Paenibacillus sp. Its description in RNAcentral is "FMN sequence". It matches the Rfam family "FMN riboswitch aptamer (RFN element)". From Rfam's summary of the family: The RFN element is a highly conserved domain that is found frequently in the 5'-untranslated regions of prokaryotic mRNAs that encode for flavin mononucleotide (FMN) biosynthesis and transport proteins. This element is a metabolite-dependent riboswitch that directly binds FMN in the absence of proteins. Lineage: Bacteria; Bacillati; Bacillota; Bacilli; Caryophanales; Paenibacillaceae. The record is from RNAcentral.